Molecule: long non-coding RNA, 1115 nt
Organism: Leptinotarsa decemlineata (Colorado potato beetle)
Lineage: Eukaryota; Metazoa; Arthropoda; Insecta; Coleoptera; Chrysomelidae
Source: RefSeq, a predicted model, not a curated record
ACCUUGAAUUGUCUAUUUUAUUUAGUAGUCUUUGUACACCUUGAAUUGAAUAUUUUAUUUAUGGUUGAAGUUAUUGCUUAUUUAUGCAAAUUUAUAAUUAAUACAUUCUAUUUUUUAUUCACUUUGAAGGUAAGGUUCAUGUCAACUCCCCUGUUCUAGUUUGUUUAAUAUGUUCACACCAUAUACAGGCACUGAUCAUUUUCCAAAUAUAAGCUCGCCAAUUCAGUAAUCACAAACUUUCCAAUUGAUAUCAUAUAUUCCUAUAUCACAAUAGAAAAUACCUGUGUUGAAACUAGUUGAAACUUAGGGUAUCGUAAUUGACACCGUUGUCAUAUUGUUGACAAGCUGUUCCAAGAAUUCAACUUGUAGUAAUCUGUGAGUGUGUUGUGCAGUGCAUAGAAAAUUAAACUGAAGGCAUAAAAGUCAUAAAACUAUCGUUUGUAAAAAGUAAUUUUUCAUUAGUGAGCAUAGGCCUCUUGUGCAGCGGAUUCUGAGUCAAAAUUUCUGACAUGUGAAUAUUUGACUAUUUUGGGAUAGGCCAUAGACAUGAAAUAUAUAUAUUACGUCACUGAGAUUGGCACGUGUCUUGAAACUUCAAUCAGUUAAAUAAAUCAAAACAUCAAACAAAAAUAGGUUAUGUUGUUGUUCGUGAUGUAAUCCUUUUAAAGAAAUGAAAUGUUAAUAUUUGUGUGUUGAUGUUUGCAAUGGAUGAAUGUGAAUCUCUGCCAUACAAGGCAUUGAAGAAUUGACUUUUGAAACCAGAAUAGUUUUAAGGGGCAGUUUGACAUGUGAAGCAUAUUGUUUACACCUUAUCAUGGAAUUUGAUUCCCAAAGUCAAUAUUCUGAUGAAGGAGUAGAUUUAUCCAUAUCAGAAAAUGGGGAACUAUACCCAAAGGACUAUUCCUUCCUGGAAGACUCUCAACCAUCAUUUUUGGAAGCAAAAAUUGUGUUUUUGCUGAUGCAAAGAAAUGUUCCAGUUUCUAGGGCAUCUCGGCUGCAAUGGCUUUUAGAUCACCUCAAUACAAUAGUCACUCCUAGUCAAAAUUUGACUGAGACAUCUAACAACUUAGAAGUGAUAGCGGCAAUACCGAGAGAACAAAAUUCAAAUCCAANAU